RNAcentral lists this long non-coding RNA (1064 nucleotides) under Cyanistes caeruleus (blue tit). RNAcentral's name for it is "lncRNA (ENSCCEG00000007440.1)". Lineage: Eukaryota; Metazoa; Chordata; Aves; Passeriformes; Paridae. The record is from RNAcentral.
UUCCCAUCCCAUUUUUCCCCAUUCCAGCCCCCUUUUCUCCCAUUUUACCCAGUUCCAUUCCAUUUACCCCCAUUCCAGUUCCAUUCCCCACCUCCAUCUCCUUUUUCUCCCAUUUUACCCAAUCCCAGCCCCAUUUCCCCCCAUUCCAGCCCCAUUUUCCCUUUACCAGCUAUUUCCCCCACAUUUCCCCAAUCCCAUCCCCUUUUUCUCUCAUUUCUCCCAUUCCCAUUCCAUUUUCCCCAUUCCAGCUCCAUUUCCCCCACACCCUCCCCAAUCCCAGCCCCUUUUUCUCCCAUUUUACCCAACCCCAUCCCGUUUUUCCCCCAUCCCAGAGGAUGGAUUGGGUGUUGGAUGUGGAAUUUUGGGACAGCCCUGGCAGUGAUGAGCUCUGCAGAGAAGAGAGGCAUUGGCCAGUGACAUCCCUGGGUGCCACCUGGCAGAGGAAGGGCUGGGACGGUGCAGGACACAGAGCAAAGGUGUUCUGAUGGCAUUGGGGACACACCCUACACCCUCUUCCUGUGAUUUUUAGGGGACUCCGAGGCCCAUCCAUGUCCUUUGGGACACUACUGCUUUGGGAGCAAUGGCAGUGAGCAGAGCAGUGUCCUGGCUCCUCGGGAGUGCCCUCCACAGACCUUCCGUGGGCACCCGGGAGCGCGGAGCCUGGCGGAGUGCCAGCCCUGCCCGCCGGGCUUCCACUGUCCCCUGCCGGGCCUGACCAGCUUUGAGGAUUAUCCCUGUCCCCCUGGCUACUGGUGCCCUGGCAAAGGGGACACUUUCCUCUGUCCAGCUGGCACUUCCAGGAUCCAACCUGGUGCAAAAUCCUUGGAAGAGUGUGAUCCCUGUUCUCCUGGAUAUUACUGCCCAGAUCCAGCCCAGACAGGGCUCCCCAACACCCAGGGAAUACCUUGCAAACCUGGCUAUGAGUGCCCAGCAGGGUCAGUAAAUCCCAAGCCCUGCAGGCCUGGCUCUUACUGUGGUGCUGUGACAGGAGAGCCUCCCCUGUGUCCUGCUGGCUACCACUGUCCCGAGGGAUCCUGGACCUACACCAGCCCCGAGCAGCUGUG